This is a long non-coding RNA of Herpailurus yagouaroundi (jaguarundi), 217 nucleotides long. RefSeq lists it as uncharacterized. The record is from RefSeq and is a predicted model, not a curated record. Lineage: Eukaryota; Metazoa; Chordata; Mammalia; Carnivora; Felidae. The transcript is spliced from 2 exons.
GCAUGGAGAUGUAUUUUAAGUUUAGUUUUCUGGGAAAUGAAAAGAAAAUUUUCAAAGGUUUGGCCAAACAUUGCCACUGAUGAAGUUCAUUUUAAAAUUACAGGUAUCCCCUACAGUCAGUGUUACGCCAUUUCACUUUUAUAAAAGGCCUAGGGUAGUACCUAUUUUUGUAACUGAAAGAAAUCUAAAGAGGACUUUCACUUUUACAAAAAAAAAG